AACGCACAUUGCGCCCUUUGGCAUUCCGAGGGGCAUGCCCGUUCGAGCGUCAUUAAACCCACUCAAGCCUGGCUUGGUAUUGGGCGACGGGAAUUUCCCGCGCCUUCAUUUCGCCGGCUGGCCGUCGUUUGACUUAGCGUUGUGACACAUGUCGCUAAUGAAAUUGAUGGUUACGCCGUUAAAAUUCUCUUGAGUAUUAAUCAAUAUUCAGUAAAGGUUGACCUCGGAUCGGGUAGGAAUACCCGCUGAACUUAA
RNAcentral lists this unclassified non-coding RNA (255 nucleotides) under uncultured fungus. RNAcentral's name for it is "partial contains 5.8S ribosomal RNA, internal transcribed spacer 2, and large subunit ribosomal RNA". Lineage: Eukaryota; Fungi. The record is from RNAcentral.